RNAcentral lists this ribosomal RNA (767 nucleotides) under Anoxybacillus kestanbolensis. RNAcentral's name for it is "bacterial SSU rRNA". It matches the Rfam family "Bacterial small subunit ribosomal RNA", at positions 28 to 776 of the family's 1533-position model. The record is from RNAcentral. Lineage: Bacteria; Bacillati; Bacillota; Bacilli; Caryophanales; Anoxybacillaceae.
GACGAACGCUGGCGGCGUGCCUAAUACAUGCAAGUCGAGCGGACGAAUCGAAAGCUUGCUUUUGAUUCGUUAGCGGCGGACGGGUGAGUAACACGUGGGCAACCUGCCCUGUAGACGGGGAUAACACCGAGAAAUCGGUGCUAAUACCGGAUAACACGAAAUGUCGCAUGACGUUUCGUUGAAAGACGGCGCAAGCUGUCGCUACAGGAUGGGCCCGCGGCGCAUUAGCUAGUUGGUGAGGUAACGGCUCACCAAGGCGACGAUGCGUAGCCGACCUGAGAGGGUGAUCGGCCACACUGGGACUGAGACACGGCCCAGACUCCUACGGGAGGCAGCAGUAGGGAAUCUUCCGCAAUGGACGAAAGUCUGACUGAGCAACGCCGCGUGAGCGAAGAAGGCCUUCGGGUCGUAAAGCUCUGUUGUUAGGGAAGAACAAGUAACGCAGUAACUGGCGUUACCGUGACGGUACCUAACGAGAAAGCCACGGCUAACUACGUGCCAGCAGCCGCGGUAAUACGUAGGUGGCAAGCGUUGUCCGGAAUUAUUGGGCGUAAAGCGCGCGCAGGCGGUUCCUUAAGUCUGAUGUGAAAGCCCACGGCUCAACCGUGGAGGGUCAUUGGAAACUGGGGGACUUGAGUGCAGAAGAGGAGAGCGGAAUUCCACGUGUAGCGGUGAAAUGCGUAGAGAUGUGGAGGAACACCAGUGGCGAAGGCGGCUCUCUGGUCUGUAACUGACGCUGAGGCGCGAAAGCGUGGGGAGCAAACAGG